AGCAGCCGCGGUAAUUCCAGCUCCAAUAGCGUAUAUUAAAGUUGCUGCAGUUAAAAAGCUCGUAGUUGAAUUUCGGGACUAAUAUGUCGGUCGUGCCUCGGUACGUACUGGUAUUUUUGGUUUCUCCCUUCUGACGAACCUUGAUGUCAUUAAUUUGGUGUCUUGGGAAAUCAGGACUGUUACUUUGAAAAAAUUAGAGUGUUUAAAGCAGGCUUACGCUUGAAUACAUUAGCAUGGAAUAAUGAAAUAGGACGUUUGAUUCUAUUUUGUUGGUUUCUAGGAUUGACGUAAUGAUUAAUAGGGAUAGUUGGGGGCAUUAGUAUUCAAUUGUCAGAGGUGAAAUUCUUGGAUUUAUUGAAGACUAACUACUGCGAAAGCAUUUGCCAAGGAUGUUUUCAUUAAUCAAGAACGAAAGUUAGGGGAUCGAAGACGAUCAGAUACCGUCGUAGUCUUAACCAUAAACUAUGCCGACUAGGGAUCGGAUGAUGUUAAUUUUUAAUGACUCAUUCGGCGCCUUACG
RNAcentral lists this ribosomal RNA (520 nucleotides) under uncultured Glomus. RNAcentral's name for it is "SSU rRNA". It matches the Rfam family "Eukaryotic small subunit ribosomal RNA", at positions 569 to 1092 of the family's 1831-position model. The record is from RNAcentral. Lineage: Eukaryota; Fungi; Glomeromycota; Glomeromycetes; Glomerales; Glomeraceae.